This 315-nucleotide ribosomal RNA is filed under the name uncultured soil bacterium. Its description in RNAcentral is "bacterial SSU rRNA". It matches the Rfam family "Bacterial small subunit ribosomal RNA", at positions 27 to 353 of the family's 1533-position model. The record is from RNAcentral.
GAUUGAACGCUGGCGGCAUGCCUAACACAUGCAAGUCGAACGGGAGUAGCAAUACUCUAGUGGCGGACGGGUGAGGAAUACGUAGGAAUUUGCCCUUAAGUGGGGGAUAACCCGGGGAAACCCGGAUUAAUACCGCAUGACCUCGAAAGAGCAAAGUGGGGGAUCGCAAGACCUCACGCUUUGGAGAAGCCUACGUCGGAUUAGCUAGUUGGUGAGGUAAUGGCUCACCAAGGCGACGAUCCGUAACUGGUCUGAGAGGAUGAUCAGUCACACCGGAACUGAGACACGGUCCGGACCUCCGUACGGGAGGCAGCA